This 397-nucleotide ribosomal RNA is filed under the name uncultured bacterium. RNAcentral describes it as "partial 16S ribosomal RNA". It matches the Rfam family "Bacterial small subunit ribosomal RNA", at positions 523 to 918 of the family's 1533-position model. The record is from RNAcentral.
AUACGUAGGGGGCGAGCGUUGUCCGGAAUGAUUGGGCGUAAAGGGCGCGUAGGCGGCUUUGCAAGUCAGUAGUGGAAGUCCAUUUUUCAAGGAUGGAAGUGCUACAGAAACUGCGGAGCUUGAGUGCAGGAGAGGUUAUCGGAAUUCCCGGUGUAGCGGUGAAAUGCGUAGAGAUCGGGAGGAACACCAGUGGCGAAGGCGGGUAACUGGACUGCAACUGACGCUGAGGCGCGAAAGUGUGGGGAGCAAACAGGAUUAGAUACCCUGGUAGUCCACACUGUAAACGAUGAAUGCUAGGUGUAGGAGGUAUCGACCCCUUCUGUGCCACAGUAAACACAGUAAGCAUUCCGCCUGGGGAGUACGGUCGCAAGAUUAAAACUCAAAGGAAUUGACGGGG